Molecule: ribosomal RNA, 481 nt
Filed under: uncultured bacterium
Lineage: Bacteria
Description: bacterial SSU rRNA
Rfam family: Bacterial small subunit ribosomal RNA
Source: RNAcentral
UAGUCCACGCCCUAAACGAUGUAUGCUUGGUGUUCCUACUACGUAGGAGUGCCGGAGGUAACCCGUUAAGCAUACCACCUGGGGAGUACGAUCGCAAGGUUGAAACUCAAAGGAAUUGACGGGGGCCCGCACAAGCGGUGGAUUAUGUGGUUUAAUUCGAUGCAACGCGAAGAACCUUGCCAAGGCUUGAAGUGCAGUGGACCGCUCCUGAAAGGGAGUUUUCUUUCGAGACUGCUGCAGAGGUGCUGCACGGCUGUCGUCAGCUCGUGCCGUGAGGUGUUGGGUUAAGUCCCGCAACGAGCGCAACCCCUAUCUUUAGUUGCCAUCAGGUUAAGCUGGGAACUCUAAAGAGACUGCCCGCGCAAGCGGUGAGGGAAGGCGGGGACGACGUCAAGUCAUCAUGGCCCUUACGUCUUGGGGCUACACACGUAAUACAAUGGGCAGGGCACAGAAGGCGAAGCCGCGAGGUGGAGAUAAUCCC